AUGCAAAAUACAGCAAAGUAUAGUUUGCGUGCAGGAAGUUACCGAUGUAGGCUGACUUCGGUAGGCCUUAUAGAUGCAAAAUUCAGUAAUGUAUCAUGCAUCUCAAUAUGCAUUCUUUACAUGGGAUUUACUAGAUUGUGCAGUAGAAGGAUUGGAUUAUUUCAUAGACUUGUUCGAGGACAUGAUUUAGGCUCUGUUUGUGUCACGCCCUCGCCUUUCACUACGGCGACGCCGGACAUCGAGUCGAAGAUCCACACGACACCGACAAGUGGAGCCCCGAAAGAAUCUGGGCCUAGCGGUCAGGAUGACAAUGAUGAGGAGGAAGCAGUAGUGUGA
RNAcentral lists this ribosomal RNA (336 nucleotides) under Triticum aestivum (bread wheat). RNAcentral's name for it is "partial small subunit ribosomal RNA". Lineage: Eukaryota; Viridiplantae; Streptophyta; Magnoliopsida; Poales; Poaceae. The record is from RNAcentral.